Molecule: long non-coding RNA, 566 nt
Filed under: Androctonus crassicauda
Lineage: Eukaryota; Metazoa; Arthropoda; Arachnida; Scorpiones; Buthidae
Source: RNAcentral
UAACGGUUCAGAAUAUGGAACAGGAAGUUCUAAAAUACAAAAGUUUGUUACCUAGGUUACAGCAUAAUUACAAAAAACAAGAUGACCUUAUUGUCACGACUUUGAAAGCCUCUAUCUUUCUCUCAAACUUAAGCCUACCUUUUAGCUUUCUACAGGUUCCUUCUCACCAAUACACCAGCAGCCCAAGACAUAGCCCCAUUUCUAAGGGAAAUAGCUGGUGUUAUAUGUCAUAAAUUAUUCUUCUGCUUUAAAGGAAGAUUUUACUAAUAGACCACUGGAGUAUCGAUUGGAAGUCCAAUGGCCGGCCCACUAGCAGAAAUAUUAUUGAGGCAAGUAGAAUACCCAAUCCUGCAAAAAUUUGAACCAAACUUAAAACUUUGUGUGAGGUAUGUGGAUGAUAUUUUUACAUUAUGGAACAGCGACGCUAAGGUUAAUGAUUUUGAAGUUGCUUUCAUGAUCCCUGUUUAUGAACUUAGCCUUAAGAAAAUCCAGCAAGACCACAACACAGCUCACUUCCUGGACAUCAACAGGAAAUUAGAAAGGGAAACAUUAAAAACUGCAGUUUA